CACAUGCAAGUCGAGCGCGAACGGGGCAACCCUAGUAGAGCGGCGCACGGGUGCGUAACACGUGGGUAAUCUGCCUGGAAGCCUGGGAUAACCAGUCGAAAGACUUGGCUAAUACCAGAUAAGCCCACAGGCUCUUCGGAGCCAGUGGGAAAAGGUGGCCUCUGUACACAAGCUAACACUUCCAGAUGAGCCCGCGGCCCAUCAGCUAGUUGGCGGGGUAACGGCCCACCAAGGCAACGACGGGUAGCUGGUCUGAGAGGACGAUCAGCCACACUGGAACUGAGACACGGUCCAGACUCCUACGGGAGGCAGCAGUGGGGAAUUUUGCGCAAUGGGCGAAAGCCUGACGCAGCAACGCCGCGUGUGUGAUGAAGGUCUUCGGAUUGUAAAGCACUUUCGACCGGGACGAAAUGCUUGAGCCCAACACGCUCAGGAGUCGACGGUACCGGGAGAAGAAGCACCGGCUAACUCUGUGCCAGCAGCCGCGGUAA
RNAcentral lists this ribosomal RNA (491 nucleotides) under uncultured delta proteobacterium. RNAcentral's name for it is "bacterial SSU rRNA". It matches the Rfam family "Bacterial small subunit ribosomal RNA", at positions 52 to 523 of the family's 1533-position model. The record is from RNAcentral. Lineage: Bacteria; Deltaproteobacteria.